GCCCCGGUACGCCAACCGGUAGAGCGGGCGGUCUCAAAAACCGUACAGUGUGGGUUCGAAUCCCACCCGGGGCA
RNAcentral lists this transfer RNA (74 nucleotides) under Thermasporomyces composti. It matches the Rfam family "tRNA". Rfam says of the family: Transfer RNA (tRNA) molecules are approximately 80 nucleotides in length. The record is from Rfam by way of RNAcentral. Lineage: Bacteria; Bacillati; Actinomycetota; Actinomycetes; Propionibacteriales; Nocardioidaceae.